ACGAACGCUGGCGGCGUGCUUCACACAUGCAAGUCGAACGGAAAGGCCCUGCUUUUGUGGGGUGCUCGAGUGGCGAACGGGUGAGUAACACGUGAGUAACCUGCCCUUGACUUUGGGAUAACUUCAGGAAACUGGGGCUAAUACCGGAUAGGAGCUCCUGCUGCAUGGUGGGGGUUGGAAAGUUUCGGCGGUUGGGGAUGGACUCGCGGCUUAUCAGCUUGUUGGUGGGGUAGUGGCUUACCAAGACUUUGACGGGUAGCCGGCCUGAGAGGGUGACCGGCCACAUUGGGACUGAGAUACGGCCCAGACUCCUACGGGAGGCAGCAGUGGGGAAUAUUGCACAAUGGGCGGAAGCCUGAUGCAGCAACGCCGCGUGCGGGAUGACGGCCUUCGGGUUGUAAACCGCUUUCGCCUGUGACGAAGCGUGAGUGACGGUAAUGGGUAAAGAAGCACCGGCUAACUACGUG
This 467-nucleotide ribosomal RNA is filed under the name uncultured bacterium. RNAcentral's name for it is "partial 16S ribosomal RNA". It matches the Rfam family "Bacterial small subunit ribosomal RNA", at positions 29 to 507 of the family's 1533-position model. The record is from RNAcentral.